Molecule: small nucleolar RNA, 190 nt
Filed under: Nannospalax galili (Upper Galilee mountains blind mole rat)
Lineage: Eukaryota; Metazoa; Chordata; Mammalia; Rodentia; Spalacidae
Description: Small nucleolar RNA U3 (ENSNGAG00000005497.1)
Rfam family: Small nucleolar RNA U3
About the family: Small nucleolar RNAs (snoRNAs) are involved in the processing and modification of rRNA in the nucleolus. There are two main classes of snoRNAs: the box C/D class, and the box H/ACA class. U3 snoRNA is a member of the box C/D class.
Source: RNAcentral
AAGUGUACUUCAGGGAUCAUUUCUAUAAUUUGCCACUAGAGAAGUUUCUCUGGAUGUUUGAAUACAAGAAACUAUGAGAUCAAGUGUGUAGUCUCCUGAGCAUGAAGCUGGCUACUGCUGCUGUACUAUUGUAACUGCCUUUUGCUGUUGAUUAUUCUCUCUCUCUGGGAGAGAAUACAGUCUGAGUGGC